UACGUAGGGGGCAAGCGUUGUCCGGAUUUAUUGGGCGUAAAGGGCACGCAGGCGGUCUUGUAAGUUUCGAGUGACAGGUGGUGGCUUAACUGCCACAGGCCUUGGAAAACUGCAAGACUUGAGGACGAGAGAGGGAUGCGGAAUUCCAGGUGUAGCGGUGAAAUGCGUAGAUAUCUGGAGGAACACCGGUGGCGAAGGCGGCGUUCUGGACUGUAACUGACACUGAUGAACGAAAGCCAGGGGAGCAAACGGG
RNAcentral lists this ribosomal RNA (253 nucleotides) under uncultured bacterium. Its description in RNAcentral is "partial 16S ribosomal RNA". It matches the Rfam family "Bacterial small subunit ribosomal RNA", at positions 524 to 776 of the family's 1533-position model. The record is from RNAcentral.